GGUCAAGCUACAAAGGGCUUCAG
This 23-nucleotide ribosomal RNA is filed under the name uncultured cyanobacterium. RNAcentral describes it as "partial 23S ribosomal RNA". The record is from RNAcentral. Lineage: Bacteria; Bacillati; Cyanobacteriota.